This 241-nucleotide long non-coding RNA is filed under the name Citrus sinensis (sweet orange). Its description in RNAcentral is "long non-coding RNA (CSIN_LNC004536)". The record is from RNAcentral. Lineage: Eukaryota; Viridiplantae; Streptophyta; Magnoliopsida; Sapindales; Rutaceae.
ACUCCAAACACACACGUCUCUGCUGCCCCUAAAGCCUAAAGUCCUAACUUCUUCUCCAUUCUUUUGCUUCUUCUUCUAUUCCUUUUCUUUCGCCACUGCUGAAUCUCAUCUUCUUCUUCUUCUUCAGUUCUUCUCUUUUUCUUCUUUUUCUUUCCUUCCACUGCUACCAAAAUCUUCUUCUUUUCAACCUCUACUGCUAAAUAUUUCUUCUUCAUUCUUUUUUUUUUUUGUUUGAUCAUCC